RNAcentral lists this ribosomal RNA (254 nucleotides) under uncultured bacterium. RNAcentral's name for it is "partial 16S ribosomal RNA". It matches the Rfam family "Bacterial small subunit ribosomal RNA", at positions 524 to 776 of the family's 1533-position model. The record is from RNAcentral.
UACGUAGGGCGCAAGCGUUAUCCGGAAUUAUUGGGCGUAAAGAGCUCGUAGGCGGUUUGUCGCGUCUGCCGUGAAAGUCCGGGGCUCAACUCCGGAUCUGCGGUGGGUACGGGCAGACUAGAGUGAUGUAGGGGAGACUGGAAUUCCUGGUGUAGCGGUGAAAUGCGCAGAUAUCAGGAGGAACACCGGUGGCGAAGGCGGGUCUCUGGGACGGUACUGACGCUGAGGAGCGAAAGCAUGGGGGAGCGAACAGG